AAAUAACAAGUUCCAAAGUGCAAUGGACAGCUUCCUCUCCUCCAACAAAAGAGUAUCCUUUUUAAAUUUCUUGACCAAUGAGAGAUUGCUUAAGAGCUCAUGGCUCGAGGCUACGAAUCGAAAGUGAGAAAAUAGGGUUCUUCUAGAGGCCAUGUCAAGAUUGUAGGUGCAAGACUAAAUCUCGAACAAGAAGAUGAGGUGUGAACUUUUAUUUUCUAGUUCUUUUCUUCAGAAUUUUUAUUUCUAGUUUGAUCUUGUUAACUUCUGAUUUGAAUUUUAAUUUGGUUUGUGCUUUUUAUUGUCCUAGUUUGAUCUUGUACAGGUUAAAAAUUUCUUUAGGAUUUUUUACCUACAUUAGAUUAGUUGUUGUCAAGCAACAAUGCACCUGAAGAUUUGUUACCCAUUUUACCUAGACAAAAAGGGGAAGAAAGAGUGUCAUUAUCUUGGCCAAAUCAAGCAGCUGCAUUAGAUGUCACCUCUCAAAUCAAGCAGCUGCAAGCAGAGGUAUGGUAUGUCAUUAUCUUGGCCAGCCAAAAUUCUAACAUGCGCCAGGCAUUGCCUCAUGUUCCUAUGAUCACUAUUGUGGGACUUCAACAAACUAGGUCUUUUAGAUCCUACAUGAAGGGAACCAUGAAGACAAACAUCUCCUUACAUGUUGGCUAUCCAUGGAGCAGCAAAUAGGACUAGAGGUGGAUUAGAUUAACCCAGUUUUGAUUUAAGAUCAAUCCCCAUAAAAUAAUAAAAUUUAAUUCAAAUCAAAGCUACUUGGAUUGGGCAUGGAUCAAAUUGACCCUAUGUAGAUAUGGAUUAUAUUUGGAACAUUAAGUACCUCAAUUCAGACUUGAAUCAAUUUCACCACCCUUGUGGGAUCUAAAAAAUUACUUAUAGUAAUCACUUCUAUUCAAUUAGUCAUUAAAUUAUAAUCUACAUAUGCUUGUGCCCCAUAUAUGAUGCGAAUUGCUGAU
Molecule: long non-coding RNA, 965 nt
Filed under: Phoenix dactylifera (date palm)
Lineage: Eukaryota; Viridiplantae; Streptophyta; Magnoliopsida; Arecales; Arecaceae
Description: long non-coding RNA (PDAC_LNC003703)
Source: RNAcentral